Long non-coding RNA from Apis cerana (Asiatic honeybee), 5005 nucleotides. RefSeq lists it as uncharacterized. The record is from RefSeq and is a predicted model, not a curated record. Lineage: Eukaryota; Metazoa; Arthropoda; Insecta; Hymenoptera; Apidae.
CUUUUAUUGAGUCUGCUAUUACUAUAUUAUUUAUUACAACAAUUUUAUAUAUCAAAUCGAAAUAAAAAUUUAAUAUUUAUGUAAAUCUAUUUUUCAUUUCAAUGACAUUAAUGUAAAAUAUUUUAUUCUGUUUUAAUUAAUUUUAUCAUCACAUAUAUAUAUCCAAUAUCCAAUAAUCGAAUUUUUUUGAGAUUGUAUAUUUCUGUUUUCUAAAAUAAACCUGUUCUGUUCUCUAAAAUUUAGAUGUAUAUCUUUACGAAAGAGAAGAAAAAGAACAUAUAUACAUAUACAUUUAUGAACUGAUAAUAUUUAACUGAUAAUAAAAAAGAAUCUUCUUUUUAUUCCAAAAAAAACUCGAUUCUAAAAUAAACGAACCUAACCUCUCAACGCGCGCGUCAAUUAUCUUCUUCCGAUUCUUCAUCGUAAUCGAUUGGCGCGAAAACACACUGCAUGAGGUCGAAUCGUGCCUGCUUCGUAAAACCUCGUAUAUACCUCUCCUGUCCUUUCCUAGAAUCCCCCUUCCCGCCAACUCUCUCCCUGUUCCAACCUAUCCAUACUUCGUUCUCCGUUCCUCCUGGCGCGAGAGUGGCCGCAACCGCGAAUUACUUCGCAAUUUCCCGAAAUUGCGCAAUCCGUGCAGGCUAAUGGCCACCGGGCCGUUGCUGGUCGGACACAUGGGUGGGGAUACGUGCGAGUUGUGUAGAGAGGCGGAGAGGGAGAACGCGUGGGAGAAGUGGGGAUGAUGGUUCGAAGGGAUGGACCACGACGGUGGCCACGGGGGAGGCCGACCAUUAAUUAAGCAAAAUCAUAAACCCGAGUUGUGCACGGGAAAGCGCGCACGGGUUAUAUUGAAAAAUAUAAACGAAUCGAGAGGGGACCCUGUUACUUUCACGAACGGAGAUACCGUCGGUGUUUAGCCUAGCCAAUGCACCCGAACAACUGCGGUGCGAUGCAGUUUGCGUCAGAGAGGGAUUUUAUCAUUGGCACCAUUGCCACGCCGAUUGCGGUUUUCAUUCUUUGUGCACGUGUACAGGAUAUACCAGAGUUAUAGACACUGAAAUUAAAUUAUGAUAAAAUGAAGAUAAUAUUCAGAAAUCUUUUGAAAAUCUUUUAUGUGCAAAUUUUAUUGUUGUAAAGUUGUGGAUAGAAGUGGAAUCGAAUUAAAGGUAUUUAGAUUUUUUUUAGAAAUUUUGAAUGUGUAUGUUCAAGAAUCAUAAAAUUGGAUUGAAAAUAAAAUUGAAUUAAAUUGAUGAAUCCGAUGUAAAGAAUAAAUUUAUAUAUGAUAUGAAAAAUUAGACUUAGAAAUAUAAAUAUUUAGUUAGUGUAAAUUCUAAUUUCAAAACUUCGAAAGUCUUUCCUUCUGAAUUUUUAAAAAUUUUAAAAACUUGAAGUUUUUUUAGUUUACGAAAUAUUAAAAUCGUUGAAAAUCAAUUUUAUGAAAUAAAAAUAUCCCUUAAAUUUAUUAGUAGAUAGUUUAUAUAUAAUAAUGAUAUUAUAAUAAAUGAAUAAAUUGAAUAAUGUGGAGAAAUACAGUUUCUGGAAAAAAGUUAAAGAAUUUUCUUCAUUGUUAUAUUUUCUAAAUAAAUUUUAUGAUGAUGUAUCAUAUAUUUAUUGGAAUAAAUUGAUUGCAGAUUUUAAUUUCUAAAUUAAAAUAUAAUCUAUUCAAAAAAUAAACACGUAUCUAGAUAAAUUAAAAUAUGCAUAUACAUGUACAUCAGUUUGAUAAUUUUCUGUUUCCUUUGUGUUUGUUGUUUUUCAAUGACCAGGGCAAGUAUCAGUAAUUAUUGAACAGGCUAAUUCCCCUGACUAUUUCUUACGAUAACUUCAUCGAACAGGAUCAUGCCCAAUUACGAUUCUUCGAACGUGUUACCGAUAUGUAUCGUUCGCCUAUUUCUCCGUGACAUACCUCUAGAAAAAGUAAAUCAAGAAAGAGCGAGAAAGAUGGAAGAGGAGAUAGAAGAGAAAAAAGAGGUGGAAAGAAAUUGAAAGUAAAAAUGACCAGUCUCGACGGCUAAACAUAGCGGUUAGUUUGUGAAAAAUCGACAAUAUAUUCUCGACUAGCGGUGGCUAAGUUUCUUACGUAGUCCGAUGCCAAGCGUUAAAAUAGUCGAAGGGGAAAUCGCUGAAAGAUAGAAUAGUUUGGUGUUUUAAAAUGUUGUUCAGAAUUUUUUAAUAAUGUUGAUUGUUGGGCUAUUUAUGUAUCGAGAUACAUAUAUUCGAUAAUAUGUCGUGUUUCAUAGUAGAUCAUAUUUAAUCUAUCAUAAUAGCUAUAUUGUCAUAUCUAAUAUUUCAUAUUGGAUAAUAUCUCUAUUCAGAUAUUGUGUAGAGGUUUAACGAAAAAUUUUAAUUAAGAUAUUUAUACAUUUGCACGUUAAUUUCAUGAUAUUUAUAUGAUAAUAAGAUUUUAAAUGACAGAAUUUUUUCAAUUGGAUGAUUUUUUCUAUAAAAUAUUAAUUAAAGAAAACGAUUUUAAUAUAUUUUAAUUUCAAAUUUUUAUUUAUUCAAUGAUAUGUAUCGAUGAUUAUUUAAUGAUAGCUAUUUAGAAUAUUUAUGUAUUGAUAUGUUAAUUUUUUAAUAUCAAUUAUAUACCAAUAUCUUGAGCAUGAUUUAUUAUAAUUAAGUAAGAUGUUAAUUAGAGAAAAAAGUAAUGAUGAUCAUAAAAGAUAUUAAAUAUUAAGACUAAAAUUUAAAAAAUCGAACAAAUCUUAUAGUACUCAGCUAUAAAACAUAUAUUCACGAAAGUUUUCUAAUAGUAUCCAGGUUUUACAUAAUUAUUAUGCACAAAUCUGAAAAAAACAUCUAUAUAUAUCUAAAAAGUUGAAUGCUCGUCGAACUCGUGGAAGAGGCAAAAGGGCAAGCAAGCGGCAGCGUCGAGCUAAUAACAAUUUAUUUGCAAUUCCCGGAGUUCCCCAGCUCGAGCGGCGCAAAAGACGACAGCGGAGAGAGAAGAAAAGUGGAAAAGAGUAAGAGAAAGAAGGAUAACGACAGAAAACCGUGGCUCGCGCGUGUGUCGCAAUGUCCCUUAACGGCUGACGGCUGUUGGAGAACCGGUCGACCUCGAUACACCUCGGCUUGCCUCUCCGCUAGGUACUACACUGGUUAAUAUACGUAUUUUCGAUAGAAGUACUACGUCCGGUUUCAAUGUAUACGAGCGAUUAUUUUUCCGACUGAUUAUAUAUUGUCGACUGUAUCUGAUCUGACCAGACCCGAUUCAACCCGAACUAAGCCGAGCUGAUCCGAUUUAAUCCGACUCAAACCGAUCUGAAGACUCGAAGACCCGAAAUCAUCCGAGUAUCACAGGUUAUCGAAAAAUUUUUGCUUCGAUCUAAAUCUGAAAUAGUGAAUAUCAUAUCCAUAAAGAAGAUCAGUUUUUUAUCCGAAAUAUGUCAUCAAAGAAAUUGAAUUCUUAGAAAUCCUGUUCAAUUCUAAAUAUGACUAAUUUUUUUAUAAUGAAAUUAUAAAUUUAUUCAUAAAUAAUAAUGCAGCGAUAUACGAGAUACGGAAUAAACGAUAUUAACAGGUUAAAAAAUAGGUUAGAAAAUAAAUUAAUUUCGAAUAUGAAUUGAAUUUAUUUCAAUUAUUUAUGAGAUUAUAUUAAAGUUAUCGUAUGCGUGAAUAGAAUUGAAAACCUUAUAUUUUAUUUUAUGAUUUAAAGGUUAUUAAAUCAAUUAAGUCAUUUGAUAAAAAAUGAAAGAUUAAAGAACAUAAACAAUAAUUUAUGCAUAUGCAAAAUUUUAACAUUAUAUUUAGAAAUAAUAAAUUAUAUCAUAAUUAAAAGCUUAAUACUUCUUAUUAUUAUGUGAAAAUUAUUAAAUUAGUUUAAAGAGAUAUAAUUACGCUUAUUGAUGUCUUUAUAUGAUAUGAAUCUGCUCCAUAUUACACUAUUAUAAUUAAUCAAUAAUAAUAUAAUACAAGCACUGUUUUGAAUUCUGUACAUAAUCAAACAAGUGAAUUUUAUUAUGAAUAUCUCAGAUUUAAAUCAAUUGCUUUAAAUUGUUCUGUUAAUUAACUAUAACGCUAUUCUUUAUUAAUUAUAAAUAUCUUAUAAAUAUCUUACUAGGAUAAAGUGAAUAUACUUAAAAUAAAUGAUUUUAUUGAAAAUUUAAUUAAUAUACAUUGAUAUUAAUGUAUUUAAUCUGUAAUAAUUUAAUUAUCUGUAAUAAUUUCGCAGAAUCAAAUUUAAAUAAUGUAAAAUUUAAAAUAUACCAAUGAAAGAAAAAAUUUCAAAUAGAUUAUCGGAGAACGUUUUUACGUUACGUAAAGUUUUUAAAAUAAAAAAUUUUUUUUUAAAAAUAGAUAUCACAAAAAAAAAUUUUCAAAUUUUUCAAAAAAAAAACUAAAACUAAAUUUAUAGUUGAUUGAAAUAUCUAAUUCACGAGAAGAAAUUCAAGUUUAAUAAAAAAAUAAAUUACAUUAUACAAUGUAUACAAUAUAAUAAAUAAUUCAUAUAUUCAUAGUAUUUACGUGUAAUGUCUCAACAAUAUGCAAUAGUUAAAGUUUAUUCUCUUUGUUCUCCGUUUUCCGCGGAAAAUCGGCUCGAGUACAUGUACAAUUGGUAACAGUGGCAUUGUCCCACGUUUUUCUUGCGGUGCAUGCAACGGUAGUGCCCCAUAAUGUCUUCUUAUCGCAUACGCCUAUCGUUCGCGUUAUUAAAAGGCGCGAGCGCAGAGUACGAAAAACAAGCGUGGCAAUUGUAGUAUACCGGUAUUCCAGUUUCCCUGCUGCGGUUCAAUCGUACUUUCUCACAGCGUGUGCGCAACGAACGACACGCUGAAAGAUAUUUUAUAGACCUGCUGCGUACCAGAAGUUGAAUUAUCUAUUUGAUAUCUGUGUUAAGGGGAAAAUUGGGUGAUCGUAAAAAAUCCUAGAUUAUGAUACAUUAUCGAAAUAUGUAAUGAAAAAAUUGGAUAUAAUAUAAAUAUAAUAAAAUAAUAUACGAUUUAAAUGAAGAUUCUCCUUAAAAAAUUUUAGACAUUAUGUGUUACAAUAAAAGAAUAUAAUUUAA